CAGUAGCCGCGGUAAUACGUAGGGUGCGAGCGUUAAUCGGAAUUACUGGGCGUAAAGCGUGCGCAGGCGGUUCGUUAAGACAGAUGUGAAAUCCCCGGGCUUAACCUGGGAACUGCAUUUGUGACUGGCGAGCUAGAGUAUGGCAGAGGGGGGUAGAACUCCACGUGUAGCAGUGAAAUGCGUAGAGAUGUGGAGGAAUACCGAUGGCGAAGGCAGCCCCCUGGGCCAAUACUGACGCUCAUGCACGAAAGCGUGGGGAGCAAACAGGAUUAGAUACCCCCGUAGUCCCUGUCUCUUAUAC
This 301-nucleotide ribosomal RNA is filed under the name uncultured bacterium. RNAcentral's name for it is "partial 16S ribosomal RNA". It matches the Rfam family "Bacterial small subunit ribosomal RNA", at positions 509 to 807 of the family's 1533-position model. The record is from RNAcentral.